UACGUAGGGGGCAAGCGUUGUCCGGAAUCAUUGGGCGUAAAGAGCGUGUAGGCGGUCCGAUAAGUCCGCUCUGAAAGCCCGGGGCUCAACCCCGGGAGGCGGGCGGAUACUGUCGGGCUAGAGUCCGGAAGAGGCAAGUGGAAUUCCUGGUGUAGCGGUGAAAUGCGUAGAUAUCUGGAGGAACACCGGUGGCGAAGGCGGCAUCCUGGACCGACACUGACGCUGAGGAGCGAAAGCCAGGGGAGCAAACGGG
Molecule: ribosomal RNA, 253 nt
Filed under: uncultured bacterium
Lineage: Bacteria
Description: partial 16S ribosomal RNA
Rfam family: Bacterial small subunit ribosomal RNA
Source: RNAcentral